Non-coding RNA from Poecilia reticulata (guppy), 1240 nucleotides. NCBI's taxonomy places the organism in Eukaryota, Metazoa, Chordata, Actinopteri, Cyprinodontiformes, Poeciliidae. The record is from RefSeq and is a predicted model, not a curated record.
CCUGCUGGGCCUGAUGAGGUCGUUUUAAAGUGCACAAAAGAACCGGAAUAWUUUUUACUCUAAAUGUUAUUAUCAUGCACUGACAGUAGAGAAAAUUCAGUUUAUGCCACUCGGUGAUGUUUUACCUUCUUUGCUUUGUGUUCGAAGCGAUCCUGAUCGAAGGAUAUCUGUGUCCGUCUGGUCAGCCUGGGCAGCUUGAGGCCUUUACUGGUGGGAACGUCGUUCUUCCCUGCAGUCUGAACAUCCAUCCCAGUGACGAUGUCCAGACGGUGGAGUGGACCAAACUGGUAGCAGGCCAGAAGCCAGUCGUUGUUUUCCUGUACCGCCACGGCUGCGAAACCUUCGAGAUGAAGGAUCCCGACUUUGAGUAUCGGACGAGCCUCAUCAUGAGAGAGGUGAAGAACGGGAACGUUUCUCUGAGGAUCUCCGGCGUGAAGCCGUCCGAUGGCGGGACGUAUCAGUGCUUAACCAUCCAGAAUGACGGCCGCAGACAGGAAGCCAAAGUGGAGCUGGUUGUUGCUCCCGGGGAGGAAUCCACCACCACAACCAUUCUGAUAUGUGUCGCUUUAGCAGUUUCACAUUUAUUUAAUCUACUGUUGAUGUUGUAUUUGUUGGUAACAACGAAGCGAACGAAUUCUGAUGGAGAAAAACCAUCAGAGCAAAAGGACAAGUUAGACCAAACCAUGAUGACUGACUUUGGUAAAUCCAACUCCCUUCUGAACCAGCUGAGUCUGACUGAAAACAGGCAAAACUGCAUCCUGGCGGAGCUGAAUAAGCAGAGGCGCAAAGCGGACACCAUCCAAAUAGACGACAGCCGUUCCUGGAACCGUCCUGCCUGCCAGCACAACCAUCCAACAACCAGCCAGAGCUCCACCGGAUCGUCUCUGGAUUCCUGGGAAACCCGAUCUCUAAUGUCUGAUCCUGACGCUGAGGCGGAAAACUCACCGGGAGAUCAGCAGCCAAACCGGGCCUGACCUGAAACAUCUGUCCAGCUGUCCAAAAGGAGCGGCCAAGUUCAUACACUGAUAGGUAGAAAGGUUUGGGUUUAGUGCCUUACCAAGGGCACAUGACAUGUGGCAGUUGGGAUGUGAUUAAUCUCAAACCUCAUUUUGGACUAAUUUAAAGAUGACUUGAACUUUUAAAAUCCUAAAUUACUAAUAUAUUAUGACUGAUAUUCUGGUGUAAAUAAAAGCAUGUUCCUGAAUGUUCCUAAGAAACUGAAUGACGGAUGGCAUGCUGC